CCCUUGUGCCAGCCGCCGCGGUAAGACGUAGGACACAAGCGUUAUCCGGAUUUACUGGGCGUAAAGCGUCUGCAGGCGGACAGGUAAGUUGGGCGUGAAAGCUCCGGGCCCAACCCGGAGAGGUCGUUCAAUACUGCGUGUCUAGAGGGUGUCAGAGGGGAGUGGAAUUUCCGGAGUAGCGGUAAAAUGCGCAGAGAUCGGAAAGAACACCAAUGGCGAAGGCAGCUCCCUGGGGCAACCCUGACGCUAAGAGACGAAAGCUAGGGGAGCGAACAGGAUUAGAGACCCUGGUAGUCCUAGCCCUAAACGAUGGAUGCUGGAUGUGGGGCCAUAGCGCUCCGUGUCGAAGCGAACGCGUUAAGCAUCCCGCCUGGGGACUACGGCCGCAAGGUUAAAACUCAAACGAAUUGACGGGACCCCGCACAAGCAGCGGAGCGUGUGGUUUAAUUCGAUGCUACACGAAGAACCUUACCUGGGUUUGACAUCUAGGUGGUAGUGAAGCGAAAGCGGAGCGACCCUUCGGGGAGCCUAGACAGAUGCUGCAUGGCUGUCGUCAGCUCGUGCCGUGAGGUGUCGGGUUAAGUCCCGUAACGAGCGCAACCCUUGCCCUCCGUUAUACGUGUCAGAGGGGACUGCCGGCGGUAAGCCGGAGGAAGGUGGGGAUGACGUCAAGUCAGCAUGGCCUUUAUAUCCAGGGCUACACACACGCUACAAUGGCCAGUACAAAGGGCAGCGAAGCCGCGAGGUGGAGCGAAUCCCAGCAAAGCUGGUCGUAGUUCGGAUUGCAGGCUGCAACCCGCCUGCAUGAAGCUGGAGUUGCUAGUAACCGCGCGUCAGCCAUAGUGCGGUGAAUACGUUCCCGGGGUUUGCA
Molecule: ribosomal RNA, 871 nt
Filed under: uncultured Chloroflexota bacterium
Lineage: Bacteria; Bacillati; Chloroflexota
Description: bacterial SSU rRNA
Rfam family: Bacterial small subunit ribosomal RNA
Source: RNAcentral